Molecule: ribosomal RNA, 273 nt
Filed under: uncultured bacterium
Lineage: Bacteria
Description: partial 16S ribosomal RNA
Rfam family: Bacterial small subunit ribosomal RNA
Source: RNAcentral
CGCCGCCGGCGACCGGCGCACGGGUGAGUAACACGUAUGCAACCUGGCCGCCACAGGGGGAUAACCCGCGGAAACGCGGCCUAAUACCCCGUGACGCCACCGGAGGGCAUCCUCCGGUGGCCAAAGGGGCGAUCCGGUGGCGGAUGGGCAUGCGGCGCAUUAGCUAGACGGCGGGGUGACGGCCCACCGUGGCGACGAUGCGUAGGGGUUCUGAGAGGAAGGCCCCCCACACUGGGACUGAGACACGGCCCAGACUCCUACGGAAGGCAGCAG